This is a long non-coding RNA of Colias croceus (clouded yellow), 696 nucleotides long. RefSeq lists it as uncharacterized. The transcript is spliced from 3 exons. The record is from RefSeq and is a predicted model, not a curated record. NCBI's taxonomy places the organism in Eukaryota, Metazoa, Arthropoda, Insecta, Lepidoptera, Pieridae.
CUGACAAAAAUUUCAGAAUUAUACUGUAUGGCUAUGAUAGAGGUUUGGGGAAAUUUAUAAGAUUCAAGAUUGAGAUUUAUAGAGAUAUUUAUUUUUUCACUGUAAUGGGAUGAGAUUGGGAUUUAUGAUAGAGCUCCACCCGGAGCGGAUUUCGAUUGCGAACUGACGUUUUUAUGUUAAAAUAAUUAAUUCAUUAUAAUAAAAGGUGCAACAUCGACGGAUUGUAUUCCGGGAAGUUGCAUUGUCUGUACGAUUAGGUACUUACUACUUAAUACAUAUACAUGAGUAAAAUGUAAAAUAAACUUAAUUGUAAUUUCAUUAUUAAAUACCGAAGCAACAUUAAAACCGACCAUGUUAUUAUCUUUCAGUGCCUGAAGUUGAUCCAGUGGUACCCAUUGUUGAAACUUACGAGGUCGAACCAACACUAUUAUGUUCUACUACGGAGACAUUAGAGCAACAGGAAACAAAGCAGAAUGAUACUGAAGCUGAUGUAAUUAUACCAGAUACCGACAACUCUACAAUAUUUGAAAUAGUUGAUGACGACAACUCUCAAAAAGAAAACAAAUGGAAUAAGUGGCAUCCUAAGGCGCUGAAAACCAGAAUACACAACGUUCUGAAACCGGCAGCAUCCAAAGCAAGUGUUGCGUCUAAAUUAGACAAAUUAAGUGAAGCUCGCUUGGAACUUGUUCAGCUUCA